Molecule: ribosomal RNA, 451 nt
Filed under: uncultured bacterium
Lineage: Bacteria
Also listed under: 1 other name
Description: partial 16S ribosomal RNA
Rfam family: Bacterial small subunit ribosomal RNA
Source: RNAcentral
GUGGGGAAUAUUGGACAAUGGGGGGAACCCUGAUCCAGCCAUGCCGCGUGUGUGAAGAAGGCCUUUUGGUUGUAAAGCACUUUAAGUGGGGAGGAGGCUUACCUGGUUAAUACCUGGGCUAAGUGGACGUUACCCACAGAAUAAGCACCGGCUAACUCUGUGCCAGCAGCCGCGGUAAUACAGAGGGUGCGAGCGUUAAUCGGAUUUACUGGGCGUAAAGCGCGCGUAGGUGGUUAAUUAAGUCAAAUGUGAAAUCCCCGAGCUUAACUUGGGAAUUGCAUUCGAUACUGGUUAGCUAGAGUAUGGGAGAGGAUGGUAGAAUUCCAGGUGUAGCGGUGAAAUGCGUAGAGAUCUGGAGGAAUACCGAUGGCGAAGGCAGCCAUCUGGCCUAAUACUGACACUGAGGUGCGAAAGCAUGGGGAGCAAACAGGAUUAGAAACCCUAGUAGUCC